Molecule: ribosomal RNA, 329 nt
Filed under: uncultured eukaryote
Lineage: Eukaryota
Description: partial 18S ribosomal RNA
Rfam family: Eukaryotic small subunit ribosomal RNA
Source: RNAcentral
CCCUUAGAUGAUCUGGGCCGCACGCGCGCCACACUGAUGCAUUCAACGAGUCUAAAACCUGCUCUGAUAGGGGUGGGUAAUCUUUUGAAUGUGCAUCGUGAUUGGGAUAGAUGAUUGCAAUUUUUCAUCUUCAACGAGGAAUGCCUAGUAAACGCAAGUCAUCAGCUUGCAUUGAUUACGUCCCUGCCCUUUGUACACACCGCCCGUCGCUCCUACCGAUUGAAUGAUCCGAUGAAUAUCAUGGAUUGAGGAUGCAAGCAGGUUCGCCUGUCUUCAUCUUCGAGAAGUGAAGUAAAUCUUAUCAUUUAGAGGAAGGAGAAGUCGUAACA